RNAcentral lists this ribosomal RNA (280 nucleotides) under uncultured bacterium. RNAcentral's name for it is "partial 16S ribosomal RNA". It matches the Rfam family "Bacterial small subunit ribosomal RNA", at positions 333 to 630 of the family's 1533-position model. The record is from RNAcentral.
UUCUGCCUACGGGGGGCAGCAGUGGGGAAUAUUGCACAAUGGGGGAAACCCUGAUGCAGCAACGCCGCGUGAGUGAAGAAGUAUUUCGGUAUGUAAAGCUCUAUCAGCAGGGAAGAAAAUGACGGUACCUGAGUAAGAAGCCCCGGCUAAAUACGUGCCAGCAGCCGCGGUAAUACGUAUGGGGCAAGCGUUAUCCGGAUUUACUGGGUGUAAAGGGAGCGUAGGCGGCAGGGCAAGCCUGAUGUGAAAGCCCGGGGCUCAACCCCGGGACUGCAUUGGG